ACUCCUACGGGAGGCAGCAGUGGGGAAUAUUGCACAAUGGGGGAAACCCUGAUGCAGCCAUGCCGCGUGUGUGAAGAAGGCCUUCGGGUUGUAAAGCACUUUCAGUAGGGAGGAAGGUAGUGUAGUUAACACCUGCAUUAUUUGACGUUACCUACAGAAGAAGCACCGGCUAACUCCGUGCCAGCAGCCGCGGUAAUACGGAGGGUGCGAGCGUUAAUCGGAAUUACUGGGCGUAAAGCGCAUGCAGGCGGCCUGUUAAGUCAGAUGUGAAAGCCCGGGGCUUAACCUCGGAAUUGCAUUUGAAACUGGCAGGCUAGAGUCUGUAGAGGGGGUAGAAUUUCAGGUGU
This 347-nucleotide ribosomal RNA is filed under the name uncultured bacterium. RNAcentral's name for it is "bacterial SSU rRNA". It matches the Rfam family "Bacterial small subunit ribosomal RNA", at positions 335 to 676 of the family's 1533-position model. The record is from RNAcentral.